UACGAAGGUGGCUAGCGUUGUUCGGAAUCACUGGGCGUAAAGCGCGUGUAGGCGGCUUAGUAAGUCGGGAGUGAAAUCCCGGGGCUUAACCCCGGAACUGCUCUCGAAACUGCUAGGCUCGAGUGUGACAGAGGAUGGUGGAAUUCCAUAUGUAGAGGUGAAAUUCGUAGAUAUAUGGAGGAACACCAGUGGCGAAGGCGGCCAUCUGGGUCAUUACUGACGCUAAGACGCGAAAGCGUGGGGAGCAAACAGG
This 253-nucleotide ribosomal RNA is filed under the name uncultured bacterium. Its description in RNAcentral is "partial 16S ribosomal RNA". It matches the Rfam family "Bacterial small subunit ribosomal RNA", at positions 524 to 776 of the family's 1533-position model. The record is from RNAcentral.